GACGAACGCUGGCGGCGUGCUUAACACAUGCAAGUCGAACGCUGAAGCCCUUUCGGGGGUGGAUGAGUGGCGAACGGGUGAGUAACACGUGGGUAAUCUGCCCUGUACUUCGGGAUAAGCCUUGGAAACGGGGUCUAAUACCGGAUAGGACCUGUCCUCGCAUGGGGGUGGGUGGAAAGUUCCGGCGGUAUGGGAUGAGCCCGCGGCCUAUCAGCUUGGUGGUGGGGUAGUGGCCUACCAAGGCGACGACGGGUAGCCGGCCUGAGAGGGUGCCCGGUCACACUGGGACUGAGACACGGCCCAGACUCCUACGGGAGGCAGCAGUGGGGAAUCUUGCGCAAUGGGCGAAAGCCUGACGCAGCAACGCCGCGUGGGGGAUGACGGCCUUCGGGUUGUAAACCUCUUUCGACAUCGACGAAGGGGCCCUGUUGUGGGGUUUUGACGGUAGGUGUAGAAGAAGCACCGGCUAACUACGUGCCAGCCGCCGCCGUAA
This 493-nucleotide ribosomal RNA is filed under the name uncultured bacterium. RNAcentral describes it as "partial 16S ribosomal RNA". It matches the Rfam family "Bacterial small subunit ribosomal RNA", at positions 28 to 523 of the family's 1533-position model. The record is from RNAcentral.